CCUACGGGGGGCAGCAGUGGGGAAUAUUGCACAAUGGGGGGAACCCUGAUGCAGCGACGCCGCGUGGGUGAGGAAGUACUUCGGUAUGUAAAGCCCUAUCAGCAGGGAGGAAAAUGACGGUACCUGACUCAGAAGCCCCGGCUAACUACGUGCCAGCAGCCGCGGUUAUACGGAGGGGGCAAGCGUUAUGCGGAUUUACUGGGUGUAAAGGGAGCGUAGACGGCUUACCAGGCCUGAUGUGAAAGGCCGGGGCUCAACCGCGGCACUGCAGCGGGAACCGGCAGGCUGGAGUGCGGGCGGGGCAAGCGGAAUUCCUGGUGUAGCGGGGAAAUGCGUAGAUAUUAGGAGGAACACCGGUGGCGAAGGCGGCUUGCUGUAGGGUAACUGACGUUGAGGCUCGAAGGUGUGGGGAGCGAACAGGAUUAGAUACCCGGGUAGUC
This 440-nucleotide ribosomal RNA is filed under the name uncultured bacterium. RNAcentral describes it as "partial 16S ribosomal RNA". It matches the Rfam family "Bacterial small subunit ribosomal RNA", at positions 338 to 795 of the family's 1533-position model. The record is from RNAcentral.